This 392-nucleotide ribosomal RNA is filed under the name Listeria monocytogenes. RNAcentral describes it as "partial 23S ribosomal RNA". It matches the Rfam family "Bacterial large subunit ribosomal RNA", at positions 174 to 561 of the family's 2925-position model. The record is from RNAcentral. Lineage: Bacteria; Bacillati; Bacillota; Bacilli; Caryophanales; Listeriaceae.
GGAAGGCAGACCCAGGGAACUGAAACAUCUAAGUACCUGGAGGAAGAGAAAGAAAAAUCGAUUUCCUGAGUAGCGGCGAGCGAAACGGAAAGAGCCCAAACCAAGAAGCUUGCUUCUUGGGGUUGUAGGACACUCUAUACGGAGUUACAAAAGAAAGUUAUAAAUGAAGCGGUCUGGAAAGGCCCGCCAAAGACGGUAACAGCCCGGUAGUUGAAAUGGCUUUCCCUCCAGAGUGGAUCCUGAGUACGGCGGAACACGUGAAAUUCCGUCGGAAUCCGGGAGGACCAUCUCCCAAGGCUAAAUACUCCCUAGUGACCGAUAGUGAACCAGUACCGUGAGGGAAAGGUGAAAAGCACCCCGGAAGGGGAGUGAAACAGUUCCUGAAACCGUGU